CACGUAGGGUGCAAGCGUUGUCCGGAAUCAUUGGGCGUAAAGAGCUCGUAGGCGGCUUAGUAAGUCGGGUGUGAAAACCCCAGGCUCAACCUGGGGACGCCACCCGAUACUGCUAUAGCUAGAGUCCAGUAGGGGAGUGUGGAAUUCCCAGUGUAGCGGUGAAAUGCGCAGAUAUUGGGAGGAACACCAGCGGCGAAGGUGGCACUCUGGGCUGGUACUGACGCUGAGGAGCGAAAGCGUGGGUAGCGAACAGG
Molecule: ribosomal RNA, 254 nt
Filed under: uncultured bacterium
Lineage: Bacteria
Description: partial 16S ribosomal RNA
Rfam family: Bacterial small subunit ribosomal RNA
Source: RNAcentral